RNAcentral lists this ribosomal RNA (720 nucleotides) under uncultured Pseudomonadota bacterium. RNAcentral describes it as "bacterial SSU rRNA". It matches the Rfam family "Bacterial small subunit ribosomal RNA", at positions 28 to 739 of the family's 1533-position model. Lineage: Bacteria; Pseudomonadati; Pseudomonadota. The record is from RNAcentral.
AUUGAACGCUGGCGGCAGGCCUAACACAUGCAAGUCGAACGGUAGCACAGAGAGCUUGCUCUCGGGUGACGAGUGGCGGACGGGUGAGUAAUGUCUGGGAAACUGCCCGAUGGAGGGGGAUAACUACUGGAAACGGUAGCUAAUACCGCAUAACGUCGCAAGACCAAAGAGGGGGACCUUCGGGCCUCUUGCCAUCGGAUGUGCCCAGAUGGGAUUAGCUAGUAGGUGGGGUAACGGCUCACCUAGGCGACGAUCCCUAGCUGGUCUGAGAGGAUGACCAGCCACACUGGAACUGAGACACGGUCCAGACUCCUACGGGAGGCAGCAGUGGGGAAUAUUGCACAAUGGGCGCAAGCCUGAUGCAGCCAUGCCGCGUGUAUGAAGAAGGCCUUCGGGUUGUAAAGUACUUUCAGCGAGGAGGAAGGCAUUAAGGUUAAUAACCUUGGUGAUUGACGUUACUCGCAGAAGAAGCACCGGCUAACUCCGUGCCAGCAGCCGCGGUAAUACGGAGGGUGCAAGCGUUAAUCGGAAUUACUGGGCGUAAAGCGCACGCAGGCGGUCUGUCAAGUCGGAUGUGAAAUCCCCGGGCUCAACCUGGGAACUGCAUCCGAAACUGGCAGGCUAGAGUCUUGUAGAGGGGGGUAGAAUUCCAGGUGUAGCGGUGAAAUGCGUAGAGAUCUGGAGGAAUACCGGUGGCGAAGGCGGCCCCCUGGACAAAGA